CUGAGGUUGGCGGUCCCUCCCCGUUCUCUAGCAGGAAGGUGACUGCUACGCGUGAGCUUGCGUCCCUCCGCGCCGCACUUUACCCUGGGAGAGGUCCCGGCUCCCUGCUGACAACUUUAAGCGCUUGUUCCUUGUUUGCUGUGGUAUUGCGGAUGAUUUGUCACGUGAAACCUUACCUUUCACUGAAUAAGGCAGAUGCUUUUAAAGGUUACUCAAUAUUGGUAUUAUCUGGUUAAAACCUUUUACCAGAAUAUCUCUACUAUCAAUAACAUCAAAAGGCUGUGGGCUGCCUUCAGCCUUCAUGAAGAGGAGAAUCAUGAAAGCCCAAGAGCUGGAGAUUGCUGAGUCCUGUGACCUCAUGGCACACUACUGAGGGUGGUAAAGUGAGACUCUGUCUCUACAAGAAAAAAAAACAAAACAAAAAAAAAAAAACUUUGUUGCAAAAAUGCCAUUACUAUUUAGCCCUAUUGCAAUAAACUAUGCAAUUUAAGAUUUUAUUCCUAGACAUAGUGAAGUAUUUACAGAUGAAACAACACAAUGUCUCCGAUUUGCUUCAAAAUAUUCCAAGGGACAAAGGAACUUGGUGCGAGGGGAGGUGAUAGUGAAUGGGGUGAAGAUGAAACUAGCUUCACCAGGUGCUCUGGGUAAUUGUCAAAGUGGUGAUGGGUAUGGGGUGAAUGGUGGGGAAAGGAUAAUUAUACUAUUGUGUCAUGGAAACUUCAAACAUACAUGAAGUUUAAAACACACACAACUAUGUCCAGAAUUAAGAGGAAUUUGGUUCUGGAGUAAGGUCUAAUUUGUUGUAACUCAAGGAUUCACUUAAAUUUCAUUAAACCCUUUGUUGUUUUCUCAUCUAUAAAAUAAGGACUUGAUUAUAAAGAUGGAGCUUUUUCUAAGCAAGCGGACAACUGACUACAUUUAAAAUCACACAGAUUUUUUAACGAUUUUUCUAUUUUGAGAGAGUCUUACUGUGUCACCCUGGGUAGAGUGUAGUGUGGUGUCACUGUAGCUCACCGCAACCUCACACUCCUGAGCUCAAGCAAUCCUCCUGCCUCAUCCUCCCGGGUAGAUGAGACUAUAUGCCAUGAGGCCCAGUGAAUUUUUCUAUUUUUAAUAGAGAGGGAGUGUUACUCUUGCUCAGGCUUAUCCUGAGCUUAAGCAGUCCUACCACCUCCAUUUGCUUUUACAGAUAUAAUUAAUGGUAUUAUCUUAAAUUUUACAAUUUGUUUUCUACAAGUAUGGUCCAGACUUAGGAUAAAACCUUACUUCUAAAUUUCAGCAAAGUUUUCUUAAAUAUUUAUAGGUAGUAUCAAAAUAGUGUUUUUCUAAUGGUUAUUUUCAAUAUUUUUUCUUCUGCUGUCAACUUAAUAUUUUGCUUACUUUAAGUAAAUUCAUCAAUAAUACCUAGUUAUAAAUUAAGGCAAAAUAAAUUGUUUUCUAGAAACUUUAAUAAUUCAAAACACUGAGUACAAUAUUGUAUUUCAUACAAUAUAUAGCACAGUUUAACAUAUCUAUCGCUAUUCUAUUUUUUAAAUGAAUAAAAGGAAAAAUUUUCAAUAAAUUGAAUUUUGGAAAAAACUUUUUAAUUAGGAGUUUCUUACCAAGUUAUGAUUUCAUAUUUAUCAGAUAUGUAAAUAUACAAAUAGCAAUUUUUAAAACUUGUAAAUAGUUGGCCUUAUAAAAUUACAACACACUGUAAAUAAAUCCUUCCCACAUUUUAUACAAACUACGUGAUUUUGAUAUACAAAGAUUUGUUUUUAUUACACUGACAAUGUACAACCAAGACUAUAUACAAUGCAAAAAAGCAUAUAAACCACAAUUUAACAUUCUGCUACUGGCAGUCACUAUAGUUUAGGAGGUAGCUUUAAUUAAACGAAAUGAACAGAAGCCACAUUUCCCAACUUGUGU
Long non-coding RNA from Nycticebus coucang (slow loris), 1908 nucleotides. RefSeq lists it as uncharacterized. NCBI's taxonomy places the organism in Eukaryota, Metazoa, Chordata, Mammalia, Primates, Lorisidae. The transcript has 3 exons. The record is from RefSeq and is a predicted model, not a curated record.